UAUUGAGAAACGAUUUGCCUAUAGUUUCCUCCAACAACUCAUUCGCUAUGUGGAUGAAGCCCAUCAAUAUAUCCUGGAGUUUGGUCGUUCUUCCUUUAAUUGAUCAGUAUUUCAAAAACCAUCGUUUAUACUUCUUAUCUGCAGCAAGCAGACCUCUCUGCUCUGGAGGACAUGCUUCCAACAAAGAGAAAGAAAUGGUGACUAGGCAACGAUGCAACAUCAAUUGUCAACUGUCUUCAUAUUUUGGGUCAGACUUUGGAUGCAAGGACAGUGAUGAAGACUGGCCUGGAGAGUGUUAAAAGUGCACUCAGAGCUUUUCUGGACAACGCCGCAGAGGAUCUGGAGAAGACCAUGGAAAACCUCAAGCAGGGCCAGUUCACUCACACCCGAAACCAGCCCAAAGGGGUUACUCAGAUUAUCAAUUACACCACAGUGGCCCUGCUGCCAAUGCUGUCAUCAUUAUUUGAACAUAUUGGCCAGCAUCAGUUCGGAGAAGACCUAAUAUUGGAAGAUGUCCAGGUGUCUUGUUAUAGAAUUCUGACUAGCUUAUAUGCUUUGGGAACCAGCAAGAGUAUUUACGUGGAGAGGCAACGUUCUGCAUUAGGAGAAUGUCUAGCUGCCUUUGCGGGUGCCUUUCCUGUAGCAUUUUUGGAAACUCAUCUGGACAAACAUAAUAUUUACUCCAUCUACAAUACCAAGUCUUCACGAGAAAGAGCAGCUCUCAGUUUGCCAACUAAUGUGGAAGAUGUUUGUCCAAACAUACCAUCUUUGGAGAAACUCAUGGAAGAAAUCGUGGAAUUAGCUGAGUCCGGCAUUCGCUACACUCAAAUGCCACAUGUCAUGGAAGUCAUACUGCCCAUGCUUUGCAGCUACAUGUCUCGUUGGUGGGAGCAUGGACCUGAGAACAAUCCAGAACGGGCCGAGAUGUGCUGCACAGCCCUGAACUCAGAGCACAUGAACACACUUCUAGGGAACAUAUUGAAAAUCAUAUAUAAUAACUUGGGGAUUGAUGAGGGAGCCUGGAUGAAGAGGCUAGCAGUGUUUUCCCAGCCUAUAAUAAAUAAAGUGAAACCUCAGCUCUUGAAAACUCAUUUCUUGCCAUUAAUGGAGAAACUCAAGAAAAAGGCAGCUAUGGUGGUGUCUGAGGAAGACCACCUGAAAGCUGAGGCCAGGGGGGACAUGUCAGAGGCGGAACUCCUCAUCCUAGAUGAGUUCACCACGCUGGCCAGAGAUCUCUAUGCCUUCUACCCCCUCUUGAUUAGAUUUGUGGACUAUAACAGGGCAAAGUGGCUAAAGGAGCCUAACCCAGAAGCAGAGGAGCUCUUCCGCAUGGUGGCCGAAGUGUUUAUCUACUGGUCGAAGUCCCAUAAUUUCAAAAGAGAAGAGCAGAACUUCGUUGUACAGAAUGAAAUCAACAAUAUGUCUUUCCUUAUUACUGAUACCAAGUCAAAGAUGUCAAAGGCAGCUGUUUCUGAUCAGGAAAGGAAGAAAAUGAAGCGCAAAGGAGAUCGGUAUUCCAUGCAGACCUCUCUGAUUGUAGCAGCUCUGAAGCGGUUACUGCCCAUUGGGUUGAACAUCUGUGCCCCUGGGGACCAGGAGCUCAUUGCUCUGGCCAAAAAUCGAUUUAGCCUGAAAGAUACUGAGGAUGAAGUACGAGAUAUAAUCCGCAGCAAUAUUCAUUUACAAGGCAAGUUGGAGGAUCCUGCUAUUAGAUGGCAAAUGGCUCUUUACAAAGACUUACCAAACAGGACUGAUGAUACCUCAGAUCCAGAGAAGACGGUAGAAAGGGUAUUGGAUAUAGCAAAUGUGCUUUUUCAUCUUGAACAGAAGUCUAAACGUGUGGGUCGGAGACAUUACUGUCUGGUGGAACAUCCUCAGAGAUCUAAAAAGGCUGUAUGGCAUAAACUACUCUCUAAGCAGAGGAAAAGGGCUGUUGUAGCCUGCUUCCGGAUGGCCCCCUUAUAUAAUCUGCCAAGGCAUCGGGCUGUCAAUCUCUUUCUUCAGGGAUAUGAAAAGUCUUGGAUUGAAACAGAAGAACAUUACUUUGAAGAUAAACUGAUAGAAGAUUUAGCAAAACCUGGGGCUGAACCUCCAGAAGAAGAUGAAGGCACUAAGAGAGUUGAUCCUCUGCAUCAGCUGAUCCUUCUGUUUAGUCGGACAGCUUUAACAGAGAAAUGCAAAUUGGAGGAAGAUUUUUUAUAUAUGGCGUAUGCAGAUAUUAUGGCAAAGAGUUGUCAUGAUGAGGAAGAUGACGAUGGUGAAGAGGAAGUGAAGAGUUUUGAACACGAUAUUAUCAAAGAUUUAAGAAACAAAUUUGCCAGCCUCGGCGAGAACUCUCUGGAAAAAGAAAUGGAAAAGCAAAAGCUUCUAUACCAGCAAGCCCGACUCCACGAUCGUGGCGCGGCUGAGAUGGUGCUACAGACAAUCAGUGCCAGCAAAGGUGAAACUGGACCAAUGGUAGCAGCUACUCUGAAACUUGGAAUUGCUAUUUUAAAUGGUGGGAACUCCACAGUACAGCAGAAAAUGCUUGACUACCUCAAGGAGAAAAAGGAUGUGGGCUUCUUUCAGAGCCUGGCCGGCCUGAUGCAGUCAUGUAGCGUCCUUGACCUAAAUGCAUUUGAGCGACAAAACAAAGCUGAAGGUCUUGGGAUGGUGACAGAGGAAGGAUCAGGAGAAAAGGUUCUGCAGGACGAUGAGUUCACCUGUGACCUCUUCCGAUUCCUGCAACUACUCUGUGAGGGACACAGCUCAGAUUUUCAGAAUUAUCUGAGAACUCAGACUGGCAAUAAUACAACUGUCAACAUAAUUAUCUCCACUGUAGACUACCUACUGAGAGUUCAGGAAUCAAUUAGUGACUUUUAUUGGUAUUACUCUGGGAAAGAUGUUAUUGAUGAACAAGGACAACGGAAUUUCUCCAAAGCUAUCCAAGUGGCAAAACAAGUCUUUAACACUCUUACAGAGUAUAUUCAGGGUCCUUGCACUGGGAAUCAACAGAGUUUGGCACACAGCAGGUUGUGGGAUGCUGUGGUCGGCUUUCUUCAUGUGUUUGCCCAUAUGCAGAUGAAGCUGUCGCAGGAUUCCAGUCAAAUUGAGCUUUUAAAAGAAUUAAUGGAUCUGCAGAAGGAUAUGGUGGUCAUGUUGCUGUCCAUGCUAGAAGGUAAUGUUGUUAAUGGAACGAUUGGCAAACAGAUGGUGGAUAUGCUUGUGGAAUCUUCCAACAAUGUGGAGAUGAUUCUCAAGUUUUUUGACAUGUUCUUAAAACUAAAAGAUUUGACGUCGUCUGAUACUUUUAAAGAAUAUGACCCCGACGGCAAGGGAGUCAUUUCCAAGAGGGACUUCCACAAAGCGAUGGAGAGUCAUAAGCACUACACGCAGUCAGAAACGGAAUUUCUUCUGUCUUGUGCGGAGACGGAUGAGAAUGAAACCCUCGACUAUGAAGAGUUCGUCAAACGCUUCCACGAACCUGCGAAGGACAUCGGCUUCAAUGUCGCCGUCCUUCUGACAAACCUCUCUGAGCACAUGCCCAACGAUACCCGACUUCAGACUUUUCUGGAAUUAGCAGAGAGCGUCCUGAAUUAUUUCCAGCCCUUUCUGGGCCGCAUCGAAAUCAUGGGAAGCGCCAAACGCAUCGAGAGAGUCUAUUUUGAAAUCAGUGAGUCCAGCCGAACCCAGUGGGAGAAGCCCCAGGUCAAGGAGUCCAAAAGACAGUUCAUAUUUGAUGUGGUCAACGAAGGAGGAGAAAAAGAGAAGAUGGAACUCUUUGUGAACUUCUGCGAGGACACCAUCUUUGAAAUGCAGCUGGCGGCUCAGAUCUCAGAGUCGGAUUUGAACGAGAGGUCAGCGAAUAAGGAAGAAAGUGAGAAGGAGAGGCCAGAAGAGCAGGGGCCGAGAAUGGCUUUCUUCUCCAUUCUGACGGUCAAGUCGGCCCUGUUUGCGCUCAGGUACAAUAUCUUGACCCUUAUGCGAAUGCUCAGUCUGAAGAGCCUGAAGAAGCAGAUGAAAAAAGUCAAAAAGAUGACCGUGAAGGACAUGGUCACGGCCUUCUUUUCAUCCUACUGGAGUAUUUUUAUGACCCUCUUGCACUUCGCGGCCAGCGUUUUCAGAGGCUUUUUCCGCAUCAUUUGCAGCCUGCUGCUUGGGGGAAGCCUGGUCGAAGGUGCUAAAAAGAUCAAAGUUGCAGAACUGUUAGCCAACAUGCCAGACCCCACUCAGGAUGAGGUUAGAGGAGAUGGGGAGGAGGGAGAGAGGAAACCCCUGGAAGCCGCCCUGCCCUCGGAGGAUCUGACCGACUUAAAGGAGCUGACAGAAGAAAGUGACCUUCUUUCGGACAUCUUUGGCCUGGAUCUGAAGAGAGAAGGAGGACAGUACAAACUAAUUCCUCAUAAUCCAAAUGCUGGGCUCAGUGACCUCAUGAGCAACCCAGUCCCCAUGCCUGAAGUGCAAGAAAAAUUUCAGGAACAGAAGGCAAAAGAAGAAGACAAGGAAGAAAAAGAAGAAACCAAAUCUGAACCUGAAAAAGCCGA
RNAcentral lists this small RNA (4523 nucleotides) under Pongo abelii (Sumatran orangutan). RNAcentral describes it as "processed transcript". The record is from RNAcentral. Lineage: Eukaryota; Metazoa; Chordata; Mammalia; Primates; Hominidae.